This 253-nucleotide ribosomal RNA is filed under the name uncultured bacterium. RNAcentral describes it as "partial 16S ribosomal RNA". It matches the Rfam family "Bacterial small subunit ribosomal RNA", at positions 524 to 776 of the family's 1533-position model. The record is from RNAcentral.
UACAGAGGUCUCAAGCGUUGUUCGGAUUCAUUGGGCGUAAAGGGUGCGUAGGUGGCGUGGUAAGUCGGGUGUGAAAUUUCGGAGCUUAACUCCGAAACUGCAUUCGAUACUGCCGUGCUUGAGGACUGGAGAGGAGACUGGAAUUUACGGUGUAGCAGUGAAAUGCGUAGAGAUCGUAAGGAAGACCAGUGGCGAAGGCGGGUCUCUGGACAGUUCCUGACGCUGAGGCACGAAGGUCAGGGGAGCAAACGGG